Molecule: ribosomal RNA, 497 nt
Filed under: uncultured bacterium
Lineage: Bacteria
Description: partial 16S ribosomal RNA
Rfam family: Bacterial small subunit ribosomal RNA
Source: RNAcentral
GAUGAACGCUGGCGGCGUGCCUAAUACAUGCAAGUCGAGCGAACAGACGAGGAGCUUGCUCCUCUGACGUUAGCGGCGGACGGGUGAGUAACACGUGGAUAACCUCCCUAUAAGACUGGGAUAAAUUCGGGAAACCGGAGCUAAUACCGGAUAAUAUAUUGAACCGCAUGGUUCAAUAGUGAAAGACGGUUUUGCUGUCACUUAUAGAUGGAUACGCGCCGCAUUAGCUAGUUGGUAAGGUAACGGCUUACCAAGGCAACGAUGCGUAGCCGACCUGAGAGGGUGAUCGGCCGCACUGGAGCUGGGACGCGGUCCAGGCUCCUACGGGAGGCAGCAGUAGGGAAUCUUCCGCAAUGGGCGAAAGCCUGACGGAGCAGCGCCGCGUGAGUGAUGAAGGUCUUCGGAUCGUAAAACUCUGUUAUUAGGGAAGAACAAAUGUGUAAGUAACUAUGCACGUCUUGACGGUACCUAGUCAGAAAGCCACGGCUAACUACGUG